Antechinus flavipes (yellow-footed antechinus) is the source of this 4279-nucleotide long non-coding RNA. RefSeq lists it as uncharacterized. Lineage: Eukaryota; Metazoa; Chordata; Mammalia; Dasyuromorphia; Dasyuridae. The transcript has 3 exons. The record is from RefSeq and is a predicted model, not a curated record.
CGUGGCCUCGGCCUGCGUCCCGCCCCGACCGCGGACUCACUCAGGACCCUGGAGAGCGUUAGCCGCGGAGUCCACCCCGGCUUAGCCGGAGGAAGCAGGGACGCCUUGGCGAGGAAGACACCAUACGGCACCCAGAAACAGGGACAAAACCGGAAAGCCAACCUGCUGCUCCAUGAAGUCACACGCUAGGAAUAUGAUUGGAUGGCCUUCAAAAGCCUCGAGCCCGCCCCCAAAACCUUGUGACCCCGGGCUGCGGGAGAAACUCUUUUGGGGCUAAACAGGAAGAAGACUUCAUAGCCUAUAAAUAGCCAAUUACCAGAUUCUCCGAUGAUGGGGUCCAGCUGGCCAAGGGAGGGGGGUGGUGCGACCCCUGGUGGCCACAUCGCCGCAUCGCCCGCAGACUGGGGGCCUUUGGAACCUGUCCUGAUAUUCUGUGUCCCCUACCACCUGGGGGAUGGAGUAGUCUCCUCAUAUUAAAACUGAGACAGAACAGGAGGAUUUCAGAGAAGCCUGGAGAGACUUAACAGGAACUGAUGCUGAGUGAAGGGAGCAGAACCAGGAGAUCAUUGUACAUAGCAACAACAAUACUAUAUGAGGAUCAAUUCUGAUGAUGUGGCUCUUUUCUACAGAGAUGAUUCAAACUAUUUCCAAUGAUCUUGUGAUGAAGAGAGCCAUCAACACCCAGAGAGGGCACAGUAGGAUUGAGUGUGGUUCACAACAUAGUAUUGUGUCUUUUUGUUGUUUGCUUGCAUUUUGUUUUCUUUCUCAUUUUUUCCUUUAUGAUUUGACUUUUCUUGUGCAACAAGAUAAUGGUAUGCAUAUAUUGGAUUUAAGAUACAUUUUUUACCAUGUUUAACAUAUAUUGUUAAUGGUAUAAUUAACAUACUUGUUUAACAUACUUGCCAUCUAGGGGAGAAAGUGGGGAGAAUUGGAAUACAAGGUUUCGCAAAGGUCAAUGUUGAGAAAUUAUCCAUGCAUAGCUUUUGAAAAUCAAAAAGCUUUAAUUAAAAAAAAUUUUAAAGUUUUUAAAAACUUUUUUUAAACUGAGACAGGUUGUUCUCUCUGCCCUCUCUGGUUAGACUUUUCCUCUCCUUCCUGUUGUGUGCAGAGGGUGAUGAUCAUAGCACAGGAGCCAUGACCUGAACUGGGGAGAUUGGAGCUAUCUCCCCCUAUCUUUCUCUUUUUAGACUUUUGGGGGAUGGGAGCAUUUGCCUUAUUCUUUGUCCUUCAUCCCCAGUUUCAGGGGUCAGGAGGAAAUCCCACUGGCCAGAGAUGUUUGAGCCAUGGAGACCUUGCUGUGGCUAAAUGGAACUGGGGUACCAGGAAGCUCCCCCCUUAUACUUGGAGUGCGGCUCCAGUGAGGAUGGAACCCAUAGCAGAGCCUCGACACUCUCAGUACCCCUUAAGGGAACUAGAGAACUUGGGAACAGGUAAAGGAUAACAUAGCUGACCUUGAGGCAGUGGGGGCUAGGGUGACCCAUGUUACCUGGGUUUGAUCCUGAAGGUGAUAGGGAGUCACAGACAGUUAGUGAGUAGGGGAGUGAUGUAAUUGGACUGUCACUUCAGGAAAAUCAUCUUGAUGACUGACUAGAAGAAGGCCCAGAGUGGGAAGAUACUUGUGGCAAGCAGACACAUUUGUAUUCCCAGUACUUAGCACAGUGCCUUAUAUAUAGUAAUAUUAAUAAUAAUAAUAGCUAACAUUUUUGUAGUGUUUACUAUGCUCCAGAUGCUGUGCUAAGAACUUUGCAAUUAUUUAUUCAUUUGAUCUUCACAACAACUCUGAGAGAUAGAUGCUCUUAAGGUCCCCAUUUUACAGAAAAGGAAACUAAGACAGAGGUUAAAUAAAAGCUAGGAAAUAUCUGAGGCAGGAUUGGAAUUCAGGAUCUUCCUGAUCCCAGGACCGGUGCUCUAUCCACUGCAUCACCAAGUAAGCACAUUAAAUGUUUUCUCAUUCAUUCAUUUCUGAUACUUAAUGGCUGGAUAUAUGACAAGGGAUAAGUCCUAAAGUCCUAAUUGGAAACUUCCAAGAGAAAGUAGAGGUCACAUAGGAUAAUUUCCUUAUUUUAUAGACAAAAAAAUUAAGGUCUUGAAAGGACCCUGAGAUGCUAAGGAUCCUACACAGGAUUUAAAUCCAAGUCUUCUGGCCCCAAACCCAAUACUUUCUCUUUUAUACAUGUGUGCAUCGUUAUUUAUGUUGCUUCUCCCAUUAGAAUAUGAGCUUUUUGAGAGUAGGAACUCUAUUUUUUGCCUUUCUUUCUAUUUCUGGCAUCUAGCACAGUCCUCGGUGCAUAAUAAAGGGCUUAAAAUACUUGUUGACCGAUGAUUUCUCUGAGUUUCAAGUUCCCCAUCUGUAAAAUGGAGAUGAUUUCAGGGAGGCUGAAAUGAAAGCAAAAAUACACAAAGCUGACUAAAAUGUCAACUACUAUAGUGUUUCCUGUCUCUAUAUCUUCCCUCAGUGUCAACCACAAAGCCCUGCAGAAAGAAGGUGGGAAAGAAAUAUUUGGUACAUUAAACUGAACUAGAAUUAGUUGUUUGGAAGAUGAUCCAGGAAGCAAGAGAAUCUUCCCAUUCUCCCCAUCCCUAUCCCAAGGAUCCAUUCAUCCUGCCCAGCUCCUGCCUGUGAGCUGGGGAGGCAGAGAUCGCCAAGAAAUUCAGAAUCUUUGGAAGAUUUAACAAAGCUCAUAGACUGAGCUGUCAAGGAAAAUUGAGUCACUACUAUCGCAAGCAUACAUGGGAGAAUGAGGCUUUAAAGAGGGAUGGCAACUGCCUCGGUGGCCGAUGGCUUCUGGGGGAAACCAGAUUUUUCUACUAAUUAUGGGGGGAAAGACACGUUUAUGGGGCAAAGGAUCCUAGAUUUAGAAGCUGAAAGGAUUGUGGAGGCUGCUAAUCUAAUCUCAGAUGGGGAAACUGAGGCCCAGAGUGAUUAAGAAACUUGCUCAAGACCACAGAGAUAAAAUCAGGGGCAAGAUUAAAUCCAUCCAGUUCACUAAAGACAUAAUUGACAAUCUAUCAGGAAUCGGUUUCACCAAAACACCCAAAGGGAUGAAGAAAAAACAAGGUCAAACAAUGUUACAGAAGGAAUCUCUGGAAAGAAAGCGUUUUUUUGCCUCGAGGUGCAAGGACAAGAAAUAGCCUACAAGGGUCAGAGCCUUAACUACCAUCAAGGAUGGAAGAAGCUUUGUAAGGAGGACUAAGUAGCAGAAUCCCUCCUGCAAAUCAGAAGCCCCAGCCACAGUGCUAGGCCUGGAAAGUACUUCCCAGAAUCAUCGAGAAGCUAAGUGCUAGAAAUCUAAGAGUUUGAGCUAACAUAUAGCUUCAAACUGAUUCCAGGGGAAAAAAAGCCUCAAAAGCUCUAAGUCCAGGGAUCUGCUUUAGGCAUAGAAAACCCAAGUUAACACAAGACAUAUCCCUCAGUAGUUUUUCCCCUUUUGUUAUUUUAAGCCCCAAUAAGUUUCAUUCAGUCAUGAGAUACAGAACUAGAAGAGUGGCCAUUAAUAAUAAUCACUAGCAUUUAUAUAGUGCUUUAAAGCUUGCAAAACACAUCUUUACAAUUACCCCGGGGAGACUGGUGCUAUUAUCAUCCCCCUUUUACAUAUAGAGAAACUGAGGUGGACAGUGAUUUAAGCAACUUGUGUCUGAAAUCAGAUUUGAGCUCAUCUUCCUUACUCCAGGACCAGCAUUCUAUACUCUGAACUAUCUAGUUGCCUCCAAAUAUCUUAGUCCAAUCUCCAUUUUUAGAUGAGAAACUGAGGGAGGGGAGGGGGGAGAUGAAGGAACUCCUCCAACGUUUCCCAUCUAUCCUGAGGGAGAGCCAAGAAUCAAAUACAGAUCUUCUGACCCAACCAAUGUUCUUUCCACUGCCCCCCUAUAUAGAGCAUGAGGAGGUCACCAUGUUGCUAUGGACUCUUCAGAGGAAGGUAAGAGACUGAGAAAGGUAUUGAAGAACACAGACAAUAUAUAACUGCUGAAACUGUGAGAACUUUCUGAACCUGGGCCCAUCAGAGAGCUGCCCCAAAGCAGGACAAUCUUGCUCUAGUGGAAUGGGUGGAGAACCCCUUGCUCCAAUCCCCAUGAAGGAGGUGGCAGAAGCAGGGGGGUCAUUCACUGCCUUUUGGGCGACUGUCUGGAACUUUGUCCUGACACUGGACUUCGAGGAGCCAGAGAGAAAGGAGGCCAACAACCCUGCACUCCUGCCUCAUUUAAAUCCAAUUCAUGCUCUAGUCAAGACAUCUCCCUUGAUUUUAUUGGUUCUCUUUGGAAAUAAAGGAUGGACAACAAC